Picea glauca (white spruce) is the source of this 123-nucleotide non-coding RNA. NCBI's taxonomy places the organism in Eukaryota, Viridiplantae, Streptophyta, Pinopsida, Pinales, Pinaceae. The record is from Rfam.
AUGUACAUUCCUACAAGAUAGCGUUAAUGCAUUGGAUCCGAUAAGAACUCCACAGUUAAGUGCGCUCAGGCUAGAGUAGUACUGGGAUGGGUUACCGCCUGAGAGGUCCUAGUGUUUUACAUG